CCCCUCUUGUCAAUAUGGUCUCUCAAAGAGGAUUAGCCUGUUAUCCCUAAGGUAGCUUUUUCUGUUUAUCGUAUAACGGAUCUUAAUAGGGUUAUGUAAAGAGAAGUUUUAGUUUUUCUCUAGUUGCCCCAACUAAACUUUCUCCUGGAGGAUUGUAGGUUUAAGUAAAGCUCUAUAGGGUCUUUUCGUCUUUUUUGUUUACCCAAGUCUCUUCACUUGGAGGUCAGUUUUUAUGAAUAAAAUUGAGACAGGGAAGCUUUCGUAUAUUCGUUCAUUCCAGCCAUCAAUUAAACGGCAAAUGAUUAUGC
RNAcentral lists this ribosomal RNA (308 nucleotides) under Polydorella dawydoffi. RNAcentral's name for it is "partial 16S ribosomal RNA". Lineage: Eukaryota; Metazoa; Annelida; Polychaeta; Spionida; Spionidae. The record is from RNAcentral.